Long non-coding RNA from Gossypium arboreum, 1047 nucleotides. RefSeq lists it as uncharacterized. Lineage: Eukaryota; Viridiplantae; Streptophyta; Magnoliopsida; Malvales; Malvaceae. The transcript is spliced from 3 exons. The record is from RefSeq and is a predicted model, not a curated record.
UCAGUCCAGUCAAUUAAGAUAGCUGGACAUCACUAGCCUUUGUCCUUUCAAAUCCACCGCCCAGCCUUUAUGAUAGCAUUUUCCAAUGAAAUCUUUUAAUGACUGCUAUCAAUAUCCUCUAACAUCUUCUUGAAUCUUCUUCGUCUGGCUCCCUUGAUCUCUGUCUUUUCCUCUUCUGAUGCUUAUACCUUAGAUGCAGUCCCAACAAUUGUCCUUCUCCUUUUCUUAGCUUUCUUUAUCAAAAAAAAAAAAAGGCCAUUCUUGAAUCUUCUUUAUCUUAUUCUCUUGGUCGUCGGCAUUCCCUCUCCUGAUGAAUAUGCCUUGGAUGCAGCCCCAGUAGAGGCCAUGAUCUCCCUCUCCGUAUCGCAAACAACCAAACCCGAAGCAAAUCUAGAGGUUCUCUUGUUGAAAGCCUCAUCAAAAUAAACUGUUACCCUCGUGCUUCCAUUUGCUUAUAACCUUUGUCAAUGUUGAUUGACCAUAGCCCACAACAGAAAAAGGUGAUGCUAGUCUUUAUUUCCCUGCCUGAAAACCCAGAUAAGCCACUCCUACAAACUUUGAGUGUUAUUAUUGUAUACCCAUGCAAGAUCUAAAUUUGACCAUACUUUUAUUGUUGUAGGACAGUACCUGAAAACGUGGUUGCUAGCUUCAUCGGAGGUGUGACAUCGGGGACAAUGAGCUUCCACUGCAACUUUUUUACUCUUUAGAUUGGAUAGAGUAGGGAUAUAAUUCCAAGGAUUCUCCAAAUUGUAAUUUUAACUUUUUGAGGGAUUUGUAAAUUCCAUAAUUUUCUGUAGAAGUUUCUAUUCUCGGCCUGUAUAAAAUUAUUACUAGGACCCGAAUUAGUCUCUUGUAAGAGUUUAUAGGCACUUCUGACUGAAUACUCUCCUGCCGGUUCACCUCUCCAAACUUGGAAGUCCUCGUAGAUUGUCUCUGCCAAGAAGAUCUAUAGAAUUUUCUUGGCUAUAUCCUCAUUGAAGCUACUUAAAACUAAAUCUGUAUUCCACUUUCUAUUAAUAGCAUCAAUCAAAUCUGAUACUAACUUAA